Molecule: ribosomal RNA, 915 nt
Filed under: Candidatus Phytoplasma asteris-related phytoplasma
Lineage: Bacteria; Bacillati; Mycoplasmatota; Mollicutes; Acholeplasmatales; Acholeplasmataceae
Description: bacterial SSU rRNA
Rfam family: Bacterial small subunit ribosomal RNA
Source: RNAcentral
CUUAGGGAGGAGCUUGCGUCACAUUAGUUAGUUGGUGGGGUAAAGGCCUACCAAGACUAUGAUGUGUAGCCGGGCUGAGAGGUUGAACGGCCACAUUGGGACUGAGACACGGCCCAAACUCCUACGGGAGGCAGCAGUAGGGAAUUUUCGGCAAUGGAGGAAACUCUGACCGAGCAACGCCGCGUGAACGAUGAAGUAUUUCGGUACGUAAAGUUCUUUUAUUAGGGAAGAAUAAAUGAUGGAAAAAUCAUUCUGACGGUACCUAAUGAAUAAGCCCCGGCUAACUAUGUGCCAGCAGCCGCGGUAAUACAUAGGGGGCAAGCGUUAUCCGGAAUUAUUGGGCGUAAAGGGUGCGUAGGCUGUUAAAUAAGUUUAUGGUCUAAGUGCAAUGCUCAACAUUGUGAUGCUAUAAAAACUGUUUAGCUAGAGUAAGAUAGAGGCAAGUGGAAUUCCAUGUGUAGUGGUAAAAUGCGUAAAUAUAUGGAGGAACACCAGUAGCGAAGGCGGCUUGCUGGGUCUUUACUGACGCUGAGGCACGAAAGCGUGGGGAGCAAACAGGAUUAGAUACCCUGGUAGUCCACGCCGUAAACGAUGAGUACUAAACGUUGGGUAAAACCAGUGUUGAAGUUAACACAUUAAGUACUCCGCCUGAGUAGUACGUACGCAAGUAUGAAACUUAAAGGAAUUGACGGGACUCCGCACAAGCGGUGGAUCAUGUUGUUUAAUUCGAAGGUACCCGAAAAACCUCACCAGGUCUUGACAUGCUUCUGCAAAGCUGUAGAAACACAGUGGAGGUUAUCAGUUGCACAGGUGGUGCAUGGUUGUCGUCAGCUCGUGUCGUGAGAUGUUGGGUUAAGUCCCGCAACGAGCGCAACCCUUAUUGUUAGUUGCCAGCACGUAAUGGUGGGGACUUUA